Molecule: ribosomal RNA, 423 nt
Filed under: Triticum aestivum (bread wheat)
Lineage: Eukaryota; Viridiplantae; Streptophyta; Magnoliopsida; Poales; Poaceae
Description: partial small subunit ribosomal RNA
Source: RNAcentral
AUGGGAUUCUAUAGCCUGCAUGGAUCCCUUCAUCAUGAGAUUGCUAAAUACCUAUCCCGAUUCUAUUGGGCUGGGGAGGGUGAUAGACAGAAGUACCACAUGGUGCAAUGGUCCGAGAUCUGCAAACCUAAGGACCAGGGCGGCCUUGGGGUAAUUCCAUCUAAACGGAUGAAUAUUGCACUUCUCUCCAAGUGGCUAUGGUGCAUCAAAACUGAAAGCACAAGUGCUCCCUGGGUGAUUUUGGUAAUUAAUGUCAACUUAUCUCUUAUUGGAUUAAUAUUUUCAUCUAGUAUAUUUCAGAAAGUUCAACAAAGGCGUGGCAUGGACAAGAGGAUGUGGAACCCCUUCAAGAUGCUAAGGACAGAAGAUUGGCAAAAGCUCAAGACUCUUCUUUUCUAUUUUAGUGAUCCAAGAUCACAUUGA